GCCUCUAUAGCUCAGUGGGAGAGCGCAUGCCUAGUACUCACUCCAGAGUUCAGCAUGAGGUCCUCAGUUCGAUCCUGGGUGGAGGCA
Molecule: transfer RNA, 87 nt
Filed under: Leucosporidium creatinivorum
Lineage: Eukaryota; Fungi; Basidiomycota; Microbotryomycetes; Leucosporidiales; Leucosporidiaceae
Description: Leucosporidiella creatinivora tRNA
Rfam family: tRNA
About the family: Transfer RNA (tRNA) molecules are approximately 80 nucleotides in length. Their secondary structure includes four short double-helical elements and three loops (D, anti-codon, and T loops). Further hydrogen bonds mediate the characteristic L-shaped molecular structure. tRNAs have two regions of fundamental functional importance: the anti-codon, which is responsible for specific mRNA codon recognition, and the 3' end, to which the tRNAs corresponding amino acid is attached (by aminoacyl-tRNA synthetases). tRNAs cope with the degeneracy of the genetic code in two manners: having more than one tRNA (with a specific anti-codon) for a particular amino acid; and 'wobble' base-pairing, i.e. permitting non-standard base-pairing at the 3rd anti-codon position.
Source: Rfam by way of RNAcentral